CGCAGUAGGAUAGGCGAAGCGUGCGAUUGGAUUGCACGUCUAAGCAGUAAGGCUGAGUAUUAGGCAAAUCCGGUACUCGUUAAGGCUGAGCUGUGAUGGGGAGAAGACAUUGUGUCUUCGAGUCGUUGAUUUCACACUGCCGAGAAAAGCCUCUAGAUAGAAAAUAGGUGCCCGUACCGCAAACCGACACAGGUAGUCAAGAUGAGAAUUCUAAGGUGAGCGAGCGAACUCUCGUUAAGGAACUCGGCAAAAUGACCCCGUAACUUCGGGAGAAGGGGUGCUCUUUAGGGUUAACGCCCAGAAGAGCCGCAGUGAAUAGGCCCAAGCGACUGUUUAUCAAAAACACAGGUCUCUGCUAAACCGUAAGGUGAUGUAUAGGGGCUGACGCCUGCCCGGUGCUGGAAGGUUAAGAGGAGUGGUUAGCUUCUGCGAAGCUACGAAUCGAAGCCCCAGUAAACGGCGGCCGUAACUAUAACGGUCCUAAGGUAGCGAAAUUCCUUGUCGGGUAAGUUCCGACCCGCACGAAAGGCGUAACGAUUUGGGCACUGUCUCAACGAGAGACUCGGUGAAAUCAUAGUACCUGUGAAGAUGCAGGUUACCCGCGACAGGACGGAAAGACCCCGUGGAGCUUUACUGUAGCCUGAUAUUGAAAUUCGGCACAGCUUGUACAGGAUAGGUAGGAGCCUUUGAAACGUGAGCGCUAGCUUACGUGGAGGCGCUGGUGGGAUACUACCCUAGCUGUGUUGGCUUUCUAACCCGCACCACUUAUCGUGGUGGGAGACAGUGUCAGGCGGGCAGUUUGACUGGGGCGGUCGCCUCCUAAAAGGUAACGGAGGCGCUCAAAGGUUCCCUCAGAAUGGUUGGAAAUCAUUCAUAGAGUGUAAAGGCAUAAGGGAGCUUGACUGCGAGACCUACAAGUCGAGCAGGGUCGAAAGACGGACUUAGUGAUCCGGUGGUUCCGCAUGGAAGGGCCAUCGCUCAACGGAUAAAAGCUACCCCGGGGAUAACAGGCUUAUCUCCCCCAAGAGUUCACAUCGACGGGGAGGUUUGGCACCUCGAUGUCGGCUCAUCGCAUCCUGGGG
This 1082-nucleotide ribosomal RNA is filed under the name Staphylococcus aureus. RNAcentral describes it as "partial 23S ribosomal RNA". It matches the Rfam family "Bacterial large subunit ribosomal RNA", at positions 1473 to 2552 of the family's 2925-position model. Lineage: Bacteria; Bacillati; Bacillota; Bacilli; Caryophanales; Staphylococcaceae. The record is from RNAcentral.